RNA transcript from Siniperca chuatsi (mandarin fish), 1656 nucleotides. It is a transcript of the gene named putative transmembrane protein ZNF593OS, with no coding region annotated. Lineage: Eukaryota; Metazoa; Chordata; Actinopteri; Centrarchiformes; Sinipercidae. The transcript is spliced from 3 exons. The record is from RefSeq and is a predicted model, not a curated record.
CAUUUUGACAGCGCUGUGUAUGUGUUUUGAGAGUGGGUGUGUGUUGUAGGCAAGCCUGCAGAUCUGGUUGGAUGAGAGCGGGGCUUUAUAAAAAGGCGGAGCACAACACAGAAGCGCUCUCAGUUGUUCAAGUUCAUCACUGUUUUGGCAUCUGUUAGGAUUUUCAGCGUGGCUGGGAAGUAGAUGGUCCCACUGGCCAGUAUCGGGCUUUUUCUUUUGCCAUCAGAGGGCCUCUGGAAGGUGAAGAAUCACAAGCUUUUGGUUUUCACGAAAAUAAGACCGACUCUUCACACAAGGAACGCCUUUUUGAAAGCUUGGAUUAUAUUUCUUUUUCUCGUAAGGGGUGGAACUCCAACCAGGUCCUCAGAGCCCCCCCGAGCUCUUCCACUGUUUCGACCCACCUCACAUCAAUAGACAUGAUCAUCAGACUGGGCAGGCUGACACCCGGAUACUUCCGCCUCCUCCAGAGGCAAGUUGCCGGUGAGGUGCAGACGCAGCCACAAGACCGUGCUGUCAACCAGAUAGCCAUGAUGCUGGCCAUCAUGGGCCUGAGUUUGUCCUACUACAGUGCCAAACAGAUGACGGAGAAGGUCCAGGCCCAGCCUGCGCCCUGAAGAGACUUGACCAUUCUGAUUGUGGAGAUAAUGGAUGAACCAAUGAGAAGUAAAGUGGGUGGAGCAAGGAGGCAGAAGCAGAGACACAGCAGUGUCUUCAGGACCGUACUUUUCUCACCUCACAGUUAUAGUCACACUUAAACACUGAAUUUCCAUGUGCAGAGAUUUCAGGGCUGCUGCGCGUGUUUUCUAGACUUUCUGUUGUCGGGACCUUGAGGGGUUUGUUUGGUUGGCUCACUUGGGGUCAUGGAUAGGACUGAUUUGGGUGGGUGAUUGAUUAAAACCGACUGCCAACUGGGUCUUACCAUUAGUCAUUACAAAGGUACAUGCUUGCAAGAUGCCGUCAAUACUGCUGAGCAAUGGGGGGACUGUGACUUUUGCAAGUGGCCAAAGAGGGUUAAAUAACAAACAGUAAUGCCUUUUUUUUUUUUAAGGGAAGGCUGACUGCAAUUGAGAUGUACCUUGUAACAAAGUGAUAACAGGCCCAAAACAUGGUUAAAGGGGAUGAAAAGUUAGCUCAACUGUUUUCUGUAGCUUUUUUUUUUUUUUUUUUUCCCCUUCAUGAGAGAACCUUGCAGAGCCUUGUGAACAGAUUGGGAGCUGUAUUCACAAACUGUCAAUAUUAAAUAUAUACACUUGUGAAAUGUAUCUGUCAGGUGGCAGCGAUUCAGUGAAGAUUUGCACAAAAGUGCAGAAAUGUUUUUAAAUACUACAGUAGAUCUGCAAAGGGACUUAAAACUACUCACUACCUUUUUUUUUUUUUUUUUUUUUUUUUUUUUUUCUUCCUUUUUUUUAAAUGGUGUUUUUUGUGAUUUCACGCUGUUAACAUAAAUUGACGUCCUGUUAAUAAGAUUUGUGACUUCCUUGAUGAGCACCUUCUUGCAGUAUCUACUACAUGUUAAAUGUUUGCAUUAACUUUACUGAACAUUGCAUGGUGUGCAAUCAAAGCAAAAUUCAUGAGUCUGUCUUGUUUUUACUGAUGAAUGAAUGUAUUACUUUAUUUUGUAAUGAUUUAAUAAAGCUGUGAAUAUUUUGAAUAAGA